AUACGUAGGGUGCAAGCGUUAAUCGGAAUUACUGGGCGUAAAGCGUGCGCAGGCGGUUUUGUAAGACAGUGGUGAAAUCCCCGGGCUCAACCUGGGAACUGCCAUUGUGACUGGCAGGCUGGAGUGCGGCCGAGGGGGGUGGAAUUCCGCGUGUAGCGGUGAAAUGCGUAGAUAUGCGGAGGAACACCGAUGGCGAAGGCAAUCCCCUGGGCCUGCACUGACGCUCAUGCACGAAAGCGUGGGGAGCAAACAGGAUUAGAUACCCUGGUAGUCCACGCCCUAAACGAUGUCAACUGGUUGUUGGGGAUUUAUUUUCUCAGUAACGAAGCUAACGCGUGAAGUUGACCGCCUGGGGAGUACGGCCGCAAGGUUAAAACUCAAAUGAAUUGACGGGG
Molecule: ribosomal RNA, 395 nt
Filed under: uncultured bacterium
Lineage: Bacteria
Description: partial 16S ribosomal RNA
Rfam family: Bacterial small subunit ribosomal RNA
Source: RNAcentral